Molecule: RNA transcript, 1649 nt
Organism: Olea europaea var. sylvestris
Lineage: Eukaryota; Viridiplantae; Streptophyta; Magnoliopsida; Lamiales; Oleaceae
Exons: 9
Source: RefSeq, a predicted model, not a curated record
UUGCCACAAUUCCCACAUUGCGGAACGCCCAAACCCUAUUCGGUUCUCCUCUCUUCUUUCUCCGGACUCCAAUCCACAUGAGUAACGCGACCUAGCUCUCCACUCCACUGUUCCAGGAGGCAGACGCAGCAUUCGCCGGAGCCCGGAGCCAAGGCAACGAACGACGUGUUCUGCGAGUGCGAGACUGCGACUUCUGCUUCUGCUGGCUGCUGCAGUGAACGGACCGUGACUGCCGGUCCGAGCUUUUAUGAUCGUUGAUUGACGACGGUUAAUGAUCAAAGUCAACCUCCAACCUAGCUGAACGUUGAUGCUAGAUUCGUCCCUGUUCUCGAGCAUAUCUUCCAUCUGAUAUUGGUUUUUGUACUAUUAAUUAUUUAUAUGGAGGGAUUGAAAGAAUGCGAAGCAAACUUGGUGGUGUAUCUCCACCCAUCCAUGGCCAAAUGCGUCAACAAUGCUAUCCUCCGUGAGCUAAGCUCUUUACUCUUCAUGUUUUUCAAAUACAAUGAGACUUUUGAUGGCGUUGUAUUGGUGAAUGAUCCGAAUGUACGAAGUAAUUUGGCAAAGAUUCUUCCCGGAAUUCAUCCGUAUCUUGGUGUGAGGUUAAAAGCAAAAUUGUUGCUUUGUAGUCCCAAGCCAAAUAUGCUUUUAGAAGGAGAGGUAGUUAAAAUUGGUAGACAGUCGAUUCAUGCUGUGAUUCUUGGUUUUCCAUCUGCUGUUAUAGCAGAUGAAGACAUUCGCGAUGAAUUCAAGUGUAAAGUUAAACAUGGAAAGGAAGUGUUUGUUAGCCGACGUCACAAGAAACACAAGAUCAAAGUUGGAACCAUAAUACGAUUUUUAGUCAAGAGCUUUGACAAAGAGAUACUCCACAUUUCUGGUUCUUUGGUUGCUGCCAAUACGGGAUGCACGUGAUGGUUAGAUACAAAUUUGGAAGAAUGGUCUCAAGCUGACAGCACCACUAGCAAGAGGAAAGAUAGGGAUGAGAAGGAGCAAAAGAUUGCAGAUGACAAAUUAAUGGCCAGUGGGGAUAUCCCUUCCUUGAAAAAAGAUGAUAGAAUUAAGAAGUUGAAGAAGAAGAGAAAAGAACAUACAUGAAGUUUGCUGCUGAUUUGCAUAUGCAUGCAUUCUCAAGAUGUGUGACUUAAAACUGCAAGUCUCUUUGGAAUUAUGGAUAAGUCAUUAGUUCUUCCGUGCUUUAGUAGAGCCAAUUAGAGUAGGAUAACUCCUCGCUGUCGAUAAGGGAGAGGUACUAAUCUCUGGUUUCCCCUUCUCAUUCAACAUUUCUCUCUCCAAUUUUUUGAAUUUUUCCUUCAUUUUAUUCCAUAUUCAUUCAUUAUGCUUGAAUCAAAAAAUGGUUCGAGCAAUGGAUGAAGAUGAUCGAUCAAUGAAACAGCAAAAAGCUGGAUGGACAUUUACGCGGUCAGAAAAUCUCUAAUCUUCGAUGGGCAGCGAUGGAAUGAAAGAGAGAAAAUUCAGACAGCAAUUGGGAGAGAAGCUGAAACUGAAACUGAAGCUGUGUUGGAAAAUGGCUGCUACUAAUUAUUUUUUUUUAGCCCUGUGCUGCAUCGUUUGAAUGAGAUUUCCUGUUUCGGUUUUCCUACUUCAUCUGCUGCUCGUAUCUCCAUUGCUAAGAAAAAAGGGUAUUCAUUCAG